Molecule: ribosomal RNA, 487 nt
Filed under: uncultured bacterium
Lineage: Bacteria
Description: bacterial SSU rRNA
Rfam family: Bacterial small subunit ribosomal RNA
Source: RNAcentral
GACGAACGCUGGCGGCGUGCUUAACACAUGCAAGUCGAACGGAUCAUCAGGUUUUCGGAUUUGGUGGUGAGUGGCGAACGGGUGAGUAACACGUGAGUAACCUGCCCCGGACUUUGGGAUAACGACUCGAAAGGGUUGCUAAUACCGGAUAUUGAACUGUUGCCGCAUGGUGGUGGUUUGAAAGUUUUUUCGGUUCGGGAUGGGCUCGCGGCCUAUCAGCUUGUUGGUGGGGUGAUGGCCUACCAAGGCGUCGACGGGUAGCCGGCCUGAGAGGGCGACCGGGCCACACUGGGACUGAGAUACGGCCCAGACUCCUACGGGAGGCAGCAGUGGGGGAAUAUUGCACAAUGGACGGAAGUCUGAUGCAGCAACGCCGCGUGCGGGAUGAAGGCCUUCGGUUGUAACGCUUCACUCCGCGAUUGACGGUAGGAGGAGAGAAGACACCGGCUAACUACGUGCCAGCAGCCGCGGUAACUAGUGUGGUGUA